RNAcentral lists this ribosomal RNA (216 nucleotides) under Glomeromycotina sp. RNAcentral describes it as "partial small subunit ribosomal RNA". The stretch from base 40 to 216 matches the Rfam family "Eukaryotic small subunit ribosomal RNA", at positions 686 to 864 of the family's 1831-position model. Lineage: Eukaryota; Fungi; Glomeromycota. The record is from RNAcentral.
GGGUCAGUAGGUUGGUCGGGUCACCGGUACGUACUGGUCUCACUGAUUCCUCCUUCCUGAAGAACCGUAAUGCCAUUAAUUUGGUGUUACGGGGAAACAGGACUGUUACUUUGAAAAAAUUAGAGUGUUUAAAGCAAGCUAACGCUUGAAUACAUUAGCAUGGAAUAAUGAAAUAGGACGAUCGAUCCUAUUUUGUUGGUUUCUAGGAUUGACGUA